AGAUUGAACAUAAGAGUUUGAUCCUGGCUCAGAUUGAACGCUGGCGGCAUGCUUUACACAUGCAAGUCGGACGGCAGCACAGGGAAGCUUGCUUCUCGGGUGGCGAGUGGCGAACGGGUGAGUAACAUAUCGGAACGUACCGGGUAGCGGGGGAUAACUGAUCGAAAGAUCAGCUAAUACCGCAUACGUCUUGAGAGGGAAAGCAGGGGACCUUCGGGCCUUGCGCUAUCCGAGCGGCCGAUAUCUGAUUAGCUGGUUGGCGGGGUAAAGGCCCACCAAGGCGACGAUCAGUAGCGGGUCUGAGAGGAUGAUCCGCCACACUGGGACUGAGACACGGCCCAGACUCCUACGGGAGGCAGCAGUGGGGAAUUUUGGACAAUGGGCGCAAGCCUGAUCCAGCCAUGCCGCGUGUCUGAAGAAGGCCUCGGGUUGUAAAGGACUUUUGUCAGGGAAGAAAAGGCCGUUGCCAAUAUCGGCGGCCGAUGACGGUACCUGAAGAAUAAGCACCGGCUAACUACGUGCCAGCAGCCGCGGUAAUACGUAGGGUGCGAGCGUUAAUCGGAAUUACUGGGCGUAAAGCGGGCGCAGACGGUUACUUAAGCAGGAUGUGAAAUCCCCGGGCUCAACCCGGGAACUGCGUUCUGAACUGGGUGACUCGAGUGUGUCAGAGGGAGGUGGAAUUCCACGUGUAGCAGUGAAAUGCGUAGAGAUGUGGAGGAAUACCGAUGGCGAAGGCAGCCUCCUGGGAUAACACUGACGUUCAUGUCCGAAAGCGUGGGUAGCAAACAGGAUUAGAUACCCUGGUAGUCCACGCCCUAAACGAUGUCAAUUAGCUGUUGGGCAACUUGAUUGCUUGGUAGCGUAGCUAACGCGUGAAAUUGACCGCCUGGGGAGUACGGUCGCAAGAUUAAAACUCAAAGGAAUUGACGGGGACCCGCACAAGCGGUGGAUGAUGUGGAUUAAUUCGAUGCAACGCGAAGAACCUUACCUGGUUUUGACAUGUGCGGAAUCCUCCGGAGACGGAGGAGUGCCUUCGGGAGCCGUAACACAGGUGCUGCAUGGCUGUCGUCAGCUCGUGUCGUGAGAUGUUGGGUUAAGUCCCGCAACGAGCGCAACCCUUGUCAUUAGUUGCCAUCAUUCGGUUGGGCACUCUAAUGAGACUGCCGGUGACAAGCCGGAGGAAGGUGGGGAUGACGUCAAGUCCUCAUGGCCCUUAUGACCAGGGCUUCACACGUCAUACAAUGGUCGGUACAGAGGGUAGCCAAGCCGCGAGGCGGAGCCAAUCUCACAAAACCGAUCGUAGUCCGGAUUGCACUCUGCAACUCGAGUGCAUGAAGUCGGAAUCGCUAGUAAUCGCAGGUCAGCAUACUGCGGUGAAUACGUUCCCGGGUCUUGUACACACCGCCCGUCACACCAUGGGAGUGGGGGAUACCAGAAGUAGGUAGGGUAACCGCAAGGAGUCCGCUUACCACGGUAUGCUUCAUGACUGGGGUGAAGUCGUAACAAGGUAGCCGUAGGGGAACCUGCGGCUGGAUCACCUCCUUUCUAGAG
Molecule: ribosomal RNA, 1551 nt
Filed under: Neisseria gonorrhoeae
Lineage: Bacteria; Pseudomonadati; Pseudomonadota; Betaproteobacteria; Neisseriales; Neisseriaceae
Description: bacterial SSU rRNA
Rfam family: Bacterial small subunit ribosomal RNA
Source: RNAcentral